CCUACGGGAGGCAGCAGUGGGGAAUAUUGGGCAAUGGGCGCAAGCCUGACCCAGCAACGCCGCGUGAAGGAAGAAGGCCCUCGGGUUGUAAACUUCUUUUAUUCGGGACGAAACACAUGACGGUACCGAAUGACUAAGCCACGGCUAACUACGUGCCCGCAGCCGCGGUAAUACGGAGGUGGCAAGCGUUCUCCGGAUUUACUGGGUGUAAAGGGCGUGUAGGCGGGAGAGGAAGUCCGACGGGAAAUUCCAGGGCUCAACCCUGGAACUGCGGUUGAAACUGUUCGUCUUGAGUGAGGGAGAGGCAGGCGGAAUUCCGGGUGUAGCGGUGAAAUGCGUAGAUAUAAGGAGGAACACCAGUGGCGAAGGCAGCCUGCUGGAGAGUAACUGACGCUGAGGCGCGAAAGCGUGGGGAGCAAACAGGAUUAGAUACCCUUGUAGUC
Molecule: ribosomal RNA, 443 nt
Filed under: uncultured bacterium
Lineage: Bacteria
Description: partial 16S ribosomal RNA
Rfam family: Bacterial small subunit ribosomal RNA
Source: RNAcentral